UACGGAGGGUGCGAGCGUUGUCCGGAUUUAUUGGGUUUAAAGGGUGCGUAGGUGGCUUGUUAAGUCAGUGGUGAAAUACAGCCGCUCAACGGUUGAGGUGCCAUUGAUACUGACAAGCUUGAAACAAGUGGAGGUUGCCGGAAUGGAUGGUGUAGCGGUGAAAUGCAUAGAUAUCAUCCAGAACACCGAUUGCGAAGGCAGGUGACUACGUUUUGAUUUUGACACUGAGGCACGAAAAGCAUGGGGGAGCAAAACAGG
RNAcentral lists this ribosomal RNA (258 nucleotides) under uncultured bacterium. Its description in RNAcentral is "partial 16S ribosomal RNA". It matches the Rfam family "Bacterial small subunit ribosomal RNA", at positions 524 to 776 of the family's 1533-position model. The record is from RNAcentral.